Molecule: microRNA, 22 nt
Filed under: Nicotiana tabacum (common tobacco)
Lineage: Eukaryota; Viridiplantae; Streptophyta; Magnoliopsida; Solanales; Solanaceae
Description: nta-miR6025e
Source: miRBase by way of RNAcentral
UGCCAAUUAUAGAGAUGACAUC